Molecule: long non-coding RNA, 793 nt
Organism: Maniola jurtina (meadow brown)
Lineage: Eukaryota; Metazoa; Arthropoda; Insecta; Lepidoptera; Nymphalidae
Exons: 3
Source: RefSeq, a predicted model, not a curated record
AAUGGAUGGAAAAUAAUAAUUUUCAACAAAUUGGAAAUCGAAUUACCCAAAGUGAUUAAUUGCAAAAGAAGUUCAAUCAUUAUCAUUUAACUUUGAUGACAGUAAGCAAGUGAAUAUUCAUUAUGGAUGAACUAUUAUUAACGAGACUGAAACUUCUCGCCACUCAAAUAGAAACUCUCUCGAAUCAAGCUCUUAGUCUCGGCUCUCUGCACAAUGACUUAAUCUACAAUGCAGAAGUAAUCAAGACUAAAUUGCAAAACCUCUCGACGAGAUUAAACGAUGAUUUACAUAAUUACUUCAGAAUGAAUAAAACGGAGAUUUCAGCGACAAAUGGGGAACCUCGAAGUUUUCGUAAGAGACGGUUUUCACAACGGGAAGAACGUAAAGAACAGAGAGAAGAUACAACAUCAAAAGGAAGUAAUACGACAGAGGGUGAAGUUGUCUCGAAGAGGAUGAAAGUACCAUGCGUGUUUUGCAAAGGCGAUCACUACAACGACCUUUGUGAUAAAUAUAAAACAGCCAAGGAACGAAAAUCACGGUUAGGAGACAGAUGUUACGGAUGUCUCUUGAGAAAUCAUCGGAUUGCGCAGUGCUAUAACAAUAAAAAUUCUUGCUAUUAUUGUAAAAAACGUGGUCUACAUCACAGAGCAUUGUGUCCUCAGAAAUUUCCAUCUAAAAUCGAAACCACCACUCUAACAGAGGGGACAGAAGAUGACAUACGGUUCUUCAAACAGCAGUAGUGAUGGCACGAGGAGAUAGGAACAAGGAUAAACAGACACGAUGUCGUAUACUA